GGGUUGUGAGGUUAAGCGACUAAGCGUACACGGUGGAUGCCCUGGCAGUCAGAGGCGAUGAAGGACGUGCUAAUCUGCGAUAAGCGUCGGUAAGGUGAUAUGAACCGUUAUAACCGGCGAUUUCCGAAUGGGGAAACCCAGUGUGUUUCGACACACUAUCAUUAACUGAAUCCAUAGGUUAAUGAGGCGAACCGGGGGAACUGAAACAUCUAAGUACCCCGAGGAAAAGAAAUCAACCGAGAUUCCCCCAGUAGCGGCGAGCGAACGGGGAGCAGCCCAGAGCCUGAAUCAGUGUGUGUGUUAGUGGAAGCGUCUGGAAAGGCGCGCGAUACAGGGUGACAGCCCCGUACACAAAAAUGCACAUGCUGUGAGCUCGAUGAGUAGGGCGGGACACGUGGUAUCCUGUCUGAAUAUGGGGGGACCAUCCUCCAAGGCUAAAUACUCCUGACUGACCGAUAGUGAACCAGUACCGUGAGGGAAAGGCGAAAAGAACCCCGGCGAGGGGAGUGAAAAAGAACCUGAAACCGUGUACGUACAAGCAGUGGGAGCACGCUUAGGCGUGUGACUGCGUACCUUUUGUAUAAUGGGUCAGCGACUUAUAUUCUGUAGCAAGGUUAACCGAAUAGGGGAGCCGAAGGGAAACCGAGUCUUAACUGGGCGUUAAGUUGCAGGGUAUAGACCCGAAACCCGGUGAUCUAGCCAUGGGCAGGUUGAAGGUUGGGUAACACUAACUGGAGGACCGAACCGACUAAUGUUGAAAAAUUAGCGGAUGACUUGUGGCUGGGGGUGAAAGGCCAAUCAAACCGGGAGAUAGCUGGUUCUCCCCGAAAGCUAUUUAGGUAGCGCCUCGUGAAUUCAUCUCCGGGGGUAGAGCACUGUUUCGGCAAGGGGGUCAUCCCGACUUACCAACCCGAUGCAAACUGCGAAUACCGGAGAAUGUUAUCACGGGAGACACACGGCGGGUGCUAACGUCCGUCGUGAAGAGGGAAACAACCCAGACCGCCAGCUAAGGUCCCAAAGUCAUGGUUAAGUGGGAAACGAUGUGGGAAGGCCCAGACAGCCAGGAUGUUGGCUUAGAAGCAGCCAUCAUUUAAAGAAAGCGUAAUAGCUCACUGGUCGAGUCGGCCUGCGCGGAAGAUGUAACGGGGCUAAACCAUGCACCGAAGCUGCGGCAGCGACACUAUGUGUUGUUGGGUAGGGGAGCGUUCUGUAAGCCUGUGAAGGUGUGCUGUGAGGCAUGCUGGAGGUAUCAGAAGUGCGAAUGCUGACAUAAGUAACGAUAAAGCGGGUGAAAAGCCCGCUCGCCGGAAGACCAAGGGUUCCUGUCCAACGUUAAUCGGGGCAGGGUGAGUCGACCCCUAAGGCGAGGCCGAAAGGCGUAGUCGAUGGGAAACAGGUUAAUAUUCCUGUACUUGGUGUUACUGCGAAGGGGGGACGGAGAAGGCUAUGUUGGCCGGGCGACGGUUGUCCCGGUUUAAGCGUGUAGGCUGGUUUUCCAGGCAAAUCCGGAAAAUCAAGGCUGAGGCGUGAUGACGAGGCACUACGGUGCUGAAGCAACAAAUGCCCUGCUUCCAGGAAAAGCCUCUAAGCAUCAGGUAACAUCAAAUCGUACCCCAAACCGACACAGGUGGUCAGGUAGAGAAUACCAAGGCGCUUGAGAGAACUCGGGUGAAGGAACUAGGCAAAAUGGUGCCGUAACUUCGGGAGAAGGCACGCUGAUAUGUAGGUGAAGUCCCUCGCGGAUGGAGCUGAAAUCAGUCGAAGAUACCAGCUGGCUGCAACUGUUUAUUAAAAACACAGCACUGUGCAAACACGAAAGUGGACGUAUACGGUGUGACGCCUGCCCGGUGCCGGAAGGUUAAUUGAUGGGGUUAGCGGUAACGCGAAGCUCUUGAUCGAAGCCCCGGUAAACGGCGGCCGUAACUAUAACGGUCCUAAGGUAGCGAAAUUCCUUGUCGGGUAAGUUCCGACCUGCACGAAUGGCGUAAUGAUGGCCAGGCUGUCUCCACCCGAGACUCAGUGAAAUUGAACUCGCUGUGAAGAUGCAGUGUACCCGCGGCAAGACGGAAAGACCCCGUGAACCUUUACUAUAGCUUGACACUGAACAUUGAGCCUUGAUGUGUAGGAUAGGUGGGAGGCUUUGAAGUGUGGACGCCAGUCUGCAUGGAGCCGACCUUGAAAUACCACCCUUUAAUGUUUGAUGUUCUAACGUUGACCCGUAAUCCGGGUUGCGGACAGUGUCUGGUGGGUAGUUUGACUGGGGCGGUCUCCUCCUAAAGAGUAACGGAGGAGCACGAAGGUUGGCUAAUCCUGGUCGGACAUCAGGAGGUUAGUGCAAUGGCAUAAGCCAGCUUGACUGCGAGCGUGACGGCGCGAGCAGGUGCGAAAGCAGGUCAUAGUGAUCCGGUGGUUCUGAAUGGAAGGGCCAUCGCUCAACGGAUAAAAGGUACUCCGGGGAUAACAGGCUGAUACCGCCCAAGAGUUCAUAUCGACGGCGGUGUUUGGCACCUCGAUGUCGGCUCAUCACAUCCUGGGGCUGAAGUAGGUCCCAAGGGUAUGGCUGUUCGCCAUUUAAAGUGGUACGCGAGCUGGGUUUAGAACGUCGUGAGACAGUUCGGUCCCUAUCUGCCGUGGGCGCUGGAGAACUGAGGGGGGCUGCUCCUAGUACGAGAGGACCGGAGUGGACGCAUCACUGGUGUUCGGGUUGUCAUGCCAAUGGCACUGCCCGGUAGCUAAAUGCGGAAGAGAUAAGUGCUGAAAGCAUCUAAGCACGAAACUUGCCCCGAGAUGAGUUCUCCCUGACUCCUUGAGAGUCCUGAAGGAACGUUGAAGACGACGACGUUGAUAGGCCGGGUGUGUAAGCGCAGCGAUGCGUUGAGCUAACCGGUACUAAUGAACCGUGAGGCUUAACCUUACAACGCCGAAG
Molecule: ribosomal RNA, 2926 nt
Filed under: Escherichia coli
Lineage: Bacteria; Pseudomonadati; Pseudomonadota; Gammaproteobacteria; Enterobacterales; Enterobacteriaceae
Description: 23S ribosomal RNA
Rfam family: Bacterial large subunit ribosomal RNA
Source: RNAcentral